This is a long non-coding RNA of Mustela lutreola (European mink), 886 nucleotides long. RefSeq lists it as uncharacterized. The transcript has 4 exons. Lineage: Eukaryota; Metazoa; Chordata; Mammalia; Carnivora; Mustelidae. The record is from RefSeq and is a predicted model, not a curated record.
GGGUUAUAAGAACAGUUCUCAAACUCCUAAACUUCUUUUAGUCAGCAAGUGGUCAGCACCCACCAAGGAGAGCUGGGAAUUGAGGAGGACACUCAUAAAACAGGGAGCUUUUGUCUUGGAUUUAAAGAAGCAGGGUCCAGAAAAGGGGCCAGAAGGAACUGCUGAAGGUGAUGGUGGUGCCUCCUGGGAAGCAGAAGUGUUCCUCCUUCCUGAGGAGCUAAUGGUGAGUGGCCCACCUGACCUGUCUUGGUUAUGGGUGGAGACGGUGGUGCUUUCUAGUUCCCCAGUCUAAGAAAAAGCACUUGUAGCUCUAGAGCACUGACUUUAAGGGAGGGGAUCUAGAGCAGUAUGUUCUCUUGAAUACUAGCCUAAUUAAAAAACAAUUAAUAAAAUAACAAUCAACUUAAACGCUCAGCAAAAAUCUUUAAGAUGAGACCACUGCUCUGGGCUGUGGGGGGGGGGGGCUCUCAGCAACUAGGUAAGGCCAGCAGGGCCCAAUAGUCAUGUGACCUGCACAGUCACAGAGGCCACCAAGGUGACUGAACCACAGCCUGUCUCCCUUUACUCUAGGAGGGCCAGGAUGGGAGAUUUUUUCCAGACAUUCAUGUCCUCUUCCCCUUUGUCCCUCCCAUUGCUCCUGGGUAUCUGUUGAAGGAAAGCACAGAAUCCAAUAUAGAAACUGAUGAGACUUUUGAACCUUUUCACUCCCUGGGAAUGAUAAACAUUCUUGAAGUCAGGAGACAAAACCAUGAGAAUGUGGUGGUCCGGAGGAGCUCAUAGCAACAUCGAGAAAAUGAAUGGAGUUUUUAAGGAGGAGUGUAGAAGGCAUUUAAGAAGUUUAAGAAGGAGCUGCCAGCAGGAGAGCCUCCCACCCAUGCCUGUGCCC